Molecule: transfer RNA, 69 nt
Filed under: Janus megamaculatus
Lineage: Eukaryota; Metazoa; Arthropoda; Insecta; Hymenoptera; Cephidae
Description: tRNA-Tyr
Source: RNAcentral
GAUAAUGUGGCUGAUUUAGGCAAUAAAUUGUAAAUUUAUCUAAGAAAAUUUUGUUAUUUUCCGUUAUUA